This 21-nucleotide non-coding RNA is filed under the name Caenorhabditis elegans. The record is from RNAcentral. Lineage: Eukaryota; Metazoa; Nematoda; Chromadorea; Rhabditida; Rhabditidae.
UUAAAGAAACCUGAGGAUUCA